UUUUUUUUUUUCUUCUUUUUCCUUCCUAGUGUUCUUAGGAUUUAUAGUUAAAUUUUACAUAGGUUUGCCAUAGGAUUAAGGAUUAAUUACUAACAAAGUUCAAACCUUGUAUCCAGUUUUCAGUGAUAGGAGUGAUUUGUGCCAAUUAUUAACAUUUAGUAUCCAUUAUGAUUACACUUCAAAGGGCAUAUUAAAAACCACAAAAUUGUAAGAUGACAUAUAAUUUUGUUUUAAAAGAAUUCAUGUGAGUGUCCAACAUUACCUAUUCAAUUGUAAGUAAAUCCAUAAAAAAUUAUUAGUUGUUAUUUAAUAUUUAAAAAAUGAAAAUAUAGAAAGAAAAAUCUGAGGCCCCAUUUUGGGUUGAGGUUGGGAGACAAAAAAAAGAGUGUUUUUCAGAAGAACACCAUUUUAGAUGAUGUUGAAAAAGCUAUUUAGUUGUUUUCGAGUUGUUAUGACUAAAACAUGUCAAAUUUAACUUUAAACCAAUUUUUAAUACCUCUAACUAAUAUAUUUAAGGAGUUGUGUUGCAUACCCUGAAUAUUGUCUUGCUUUUCCUUCCCUCUCCUUAAAUAUGCCACAUAUCAUAGGCUUUUGUGAAAUUUAUAUGAGUAAAAUACGUGAAUCUCAACAAUUUGAGAGUUUUGGUACAUGCCUCAAAUUUGGCUACCACUAACACAAAUAUUAAAGGUUUUGAAUAUAAUUGAUUCAAAUUAAAAAGCAUUGGCUGUAUUUGAAAAUUAGACUAAAGGUUUGAGGGUUUUCUUUUAUUAUUAUUAUUAUAAAUGAUAAAUGAAGUGAUUUGUCUCCGGCUUAAGAUCAUUUGUUACUGAGUUAGCUGGUGAUUGACUUUGGCUGGUGUUAUAUUUGUUUAUGUAUUUGAGUACACCUGAAACUUUUCUCUGGAGAAUGGAAAAAUGCGCAGAUAAGAUUUAGUUUAAGCUGUCCCUAAAAAUUAUUUAAAACUCAAGCACAUUUCAUGAGGCCACUUGGUAAUAAAUAAGAAUUAUUCUUGCCUACCCGCUGGUGUGUACACCUAUCUAAUUUACAACUGAUACAAUAUCUAAAAUUAUGGUGGGUCCUAUUAAAAAAUGUAGUCGGUCCUACCUAAAAUUAUUGUGUGCUGAUUUCUUAUUUCUGGGUGUAUAAAUCAAAUCAUAUACCUUGUCGUAGGUAAGAAAUUUUCAUUAAAAAACACCUUCAGAGUUGCUAACUUCUUUGAUUUUCUUCAUGAAGCUUGCUUUUGAUUAAAUGCUGAAUUAUUUAUGAUCCUCAAGUGGUUGACUCCUUCUGUGGGCUGCAAAUCUACUUUCCUCUGCUAUGAUAAUCAUUUUCAUCACCAUGAAAAUAAUUGAGUUCAGGACAGGUUCAGAAAUUCUUCUAAUCUUCCCUUUUUCCCCCUCUCUUGGUGAUGCUCUAUAGAGAUUUCAAGGUCGCACCUAUG
RNAcentral lists this unclassified non-coding RNA (1441 nucleotides) under Hevea brasiliensis (rubber tree). Lineage: Eukaryota; Viridiplantae; Streptophyta; Magnoliopsida; Malpighiales; Euphorbiaceae. The record is from RNAcentral.